Molecule: long non-coding RNA, 251 nt
Filed under: Medicago truncatula (barrel medic)
Lineage: Eukaryota; Viridiplantae; Streptophyta; Magnoliopsida; Fabales; Fabaceae
Description: long non-coding RNA (MTRU_LNC001213)
Source: RNAcentral
AAUGUGACAUGGCAGAUAUCUUUGAGACCAAGGUUGAAGGCACAGAGGUCAUGAUUGUCCCAAACGUGAGAAGGAGUUUUCCCAGCAGCGACGAAUCUACGACAGGGAGUGAUAUGACUGCAGGGUGGUUUUAAGGUACGAUGAAAGGGAAUCAUACAAGAAAAAGAAGAAGAAGAAUUUUCAUUGCAUUUCUUAAUCCAUGUUAUUUCAAUGGCUAAUUUGUCAUUUACAGUAGUGGCCACGUUGACUCC